CGGGAGCUCAUUGAAGAAUGAUAAACAGAGGAAGACAAGACUGUCGUGUCUCCAUCAGAUUCUCUAAGAAAUGUAUUCAGGCACUUGAUCUGAGGGAUUUUUAUUUCUAUUGAAACCGCCGACUGAAUCAGAAGCUUGAAAUUGUAAUUUUUGAAAUUUUUGACUUUAACGAGACUGAUUAUUCUAUAUGAUGAAAAACGCAAGUGGAUCUUCGUGGAAGAAGAAGACGAACCAGACGAACAUGGGAGGAGAGGAACGAUAGGAGAAAGCGCGAUGGUCGGUGCCAUU
RNAcentral lists this long non-coding RNA (288 nucleotides) under Carica papaya (papaya). Its description in RNAcentral is "long non-coding RNA (CPAP_LNC015655)". Lineage: Eukaryota; Viridiplantae; Streptophyta; Magnoliopsida; Brassicales; Caricaceae. The record is from RNAcentral.